UAGGUUGGUUUACAAAAACAGUAAUAAAGGAAAUGAUUUUAUUAAAUGUUUGGAAAAGCAGGGUUUGAAUGUGUGCGAUAAAAAUGAUUUACAAGAAGAUCAAAAGAUAUACAGGAGAAUGGUAAAUUAGUAACAGUACUCACCAAAAGCUGCUAACAACCCAAUUACAAUGAAACAUUGGAUCUAUAAGGAUGCAAUGUGAAAACUAAGCUAUCAAUGUUUGUGCCUUGUACUGCAAUCUUCUAGCGGAUGGUCCAGUUCAGGCCCCCUUGGAGAUGUUCUUGAAGUGUCCCGUGAGGCAUGAACACAUACAAAAGCGACCUCUAAUAGCACAAACAUGGUUCUUACCAUCGGGCAAUGUGUGAAUAAUACGUGGAUUGAUAAUACGUGUUUGCUAAUAUUCCGCAGAGAAAUUCAUCCCCACCAGAAAGAGCAGCCAUUGGAGGGACAUUAGCAGAAUACUGCGGAUAUGGGGUCCCAUUGAUCCGAAUCCAGUCCAUUGAAAAAAAAGUAGGAAUGGAGGAAGGAUAUGUGAAGAUUGAAGGAAGCCAUAACUCCUUAGCUUUACUACGAGAUUCGCGCAGUUUUUCCCCAAAUUGAACCCAAACAGGUUGCCA
RNAcentral lists this long non-coding RNA (617 nucleotides) under Panax ginseng (ginseng). RNAcentral describes it as "long non-coding RNA (PGIN_LNC015703)". Lineage: Eukaryota; Viridiplantae; Streptophyta; Magnoliopsida; Apiales; Araliaceae. The record is from RNAcentral.